RNAcentral lists this long non-coding RNA (427 nucleotides) under Physcomitrium patens. RNAcentral's name for it is "long non-coding RNA (PPAT_LNC003860)". The record is from RNAcentral. Lineage: Eukaryota; Viridiplantae; Streptophyta; Bryopsida; Funariales; Funariaceae.
AAUUGGCGAGUCAAGCGCCUCUUCGUGAGUUUCAAAACAACCAUUUCUAUGUUUCGAUUUUAUGAUAAGGGCCCUCAAGCUUAAAAUUAGGAUUUCCACAUGUUGAUGUUUAUCCAUCGAAGCGGGAUGCUGGUGUUUAUCCGUGGCAAUCUACGUGGAUCGUAAUGUUAAAUGCAAAUAUUGCCGACUUUCAAGUUUGGCUUAAACCUUAAUUAAUGAUACUUCAGAAUCUAAAACAAAUUCAUGUUUGAGGUGCAUAAAAAGUUACUUUACACCUAAAUUUGGGAUUCACAAGUAGUAUUAGUUGACAAUCUUGUUUUUAAACAUCAGAAGUCUUAUUUAACACGGUGUGUAAUAAUUUAAAUUAAGUAAAUUUCACUCACGAAAAAAUUAAACAACAGAUAGAACAAUUCUUUAUUUUUUGAAA